This 55-nucleotide transfer RNA is filed under the name Paralongidorus litoralis. RNAcentral's name for it is "tRNA-Leu". Lineage: Eukaryota; Metazoa; Nematoda; Enoplea; Dorylaimida; Longidoridae. The record is from RNAcentral.
CUUAUCUUGGAGGAAUAGCUCUGUAAGCUUAGAACUUACCCAUAUGUAGAUAAGA